Molecule: long non-coding RNA, 1991 nt
Filed under: Paramuricea clavata
Lineage: Eukaryota; Metazoa; Cnidaria; Anthozoa; Malacalcyonacea; Plexauridae
Source: RNAcentral
CACCAGCCUUGUAUCUUACAGUUCAGUUCUUAUGUACUUGGUGUAAAAGAUUUUAAGCAAUAUAACUUGUAGAAGUUAUAUUGAUUAAUUGUUUUGGCAACACAGCAUAUUGUCCAGUGCACAUGGUUAAAGAUGUGCUACCUUCAAAUAUUUUCUGUUCUUCUUUUUAGUGUUGGAAAGUUCACGAUUGGCAAAUUUCAAGCUGUAGUAAAUGCACAACCUCAAAAACAAUUAAGAAAGCAAUUUGUUGGAACAUGAAGAAAGCAGAAAGCAAUUUGUUGGAACAUGAAGAAAUCAAUUUGUCAGAACAUGAAGAACCCAGAAAGCAAUUUGUUGGAACAUAAAGACCUUCAAAUGUGUUUUCUGUUUGAUCAAAGGCCUUAAUGAAACAAAACUGCUUCCUGUUAUCAUCUAGGUCAUUACAUUGGAUGGCAUUUGUGCAUGUAGGACAGUUGCAGAUCUUAAUAGAUUUAUGGAUCUAAACUCAAAUUUAUGGAACUAAAUUAUAUGGAUUUAUGGAACUAAAAUCAAAUUAAAUAUGGAUUGAUAAUAUGGAUAAAAAAUAUGGAUUUAUGGAACUAAAAUCAAAUCAAAGUGUUGUUUACAUUUUGGGGUUGUACAACUUGUACAUAGUAGAAUACACUAGAUGUUAAAGUUUCAUUUACUUGGUUCCCUUUGUAAAAACAACACUACAACUUACAUGCACCAACAUCCGGUUUGUUGCAAGUUGAAACCAAUUUUAUUGCCUGAUAUAUUUUACUCUGCCAACAAGUCUUAAUAACAACUUACAUGCACCAACAUCCGAUUUGUUGCAAGUUGAAACCAAUUUUAUUGCCUGAUAUAUUUUACUCUGCCAACAAGUCUUAAUAACUAAGGGGCUAUUUACAUGAGCCCGACUAGUCCUGUUAACUGAGGCACCCAGCUUAAUACAAAUCAUUUAACAAGAAUCUGCCUAGCCGAGAUCUCACUUGAGUCAAAGAGGAUGCCCGGAUAACCGGGCUGAAAUUUCUCCAUGUAAAGUCACCAGCUCAGGUAACCUCCUGGCUAGCCAGGCCUUCAGCCUGGUUAACCGGGCCAGCCUGCAUGGCUAGCCAGGCUCAUGUAAACAGCCCCUAAGGUGAUAGCAACAAUAAUGUACUUGGUGCUAAAUGUAACAUAAACUUGAGUAACAGAGAAAAUUCUCAUAUUCAGAUUAUUUUCCCCUCAUUGUAGAGUAAACUGUUAAUAUGUAUCUUAAAAACUAGAGUGUAUAUUAGAAUCUCACAGAUUUAUAAUUUAAACUGUCGUUAAGAUAAAUCAGGUCUUUUAUUGUCUGUUUUGUAAAUGAAGUUCCCUGAUUCAUCCAAGCAUUGAUCUUUAAACUAUUUUUCCAAUAUCAAUGAACAGUCAUGAUAAUGUCAUAGGAGGCCUUGUCACUUGUGAUACCAAAUUUGUAAAGUCACAGCCAAAGGAUUUCAAUAGGUUCAAGUCAAUAUAUUAUCUCUAAAAUUCAUUUUUGAAGAAGAAGUAGGUCCAGCAAUUUCUUUCAUAUCGCAAUAUUAUUUUAUAUUAAACGAUUGUAGGCCAAUAUGCCAAGUUGAAUUACACUGUUUGAAUAGUUGAUCACAGAUUCACAGAAGGUUCGAUGAACUCGAUUUAUUUCCUUCAUUGUUCAUGGUAUUCACGUCCUUAAUCCUUUUGUACACCAUGAAAUAUCACCAACCUAUCACUCAAAACAUAUUUUACGGCGAUCGGACUAACCACACAUAAGCUAUAUAACUUUAUAUGUUUAUCACUAUUCGCCAAAGACCGAGGUGAAAUUAAUCGAUGUAUGACAAUGGCCAAAUUCCACGCUUAAAUUCGUUUGUCAUCCUCAUAGUGACAAUUAAAUCAAAGAACAUCCUCUUCUUUAUCAUAUUUCAAAGUAUCAUGAGUUUUGCUUGGAUACAUAAAAAGCUAGAGCACUUUUAGUGGCUCUAUUUCGCAUUCCGCCAUAUUAACUCCUAUAAAAU